CCUACGGGGCGCAGCAGUGGGGAAUAUUGCACAAUGGGGGGAACCCUGAUGCAGCGACGCCGCGUGAAGGAAGAAGGCUUUCGGGUUGUAAACUUCUUUUAUCAGGGACGAAGCAAGUGACGGUACCUGAUGAAUAAGCCAUGGCUAACUACGUGCCAGCAGCCGCGGUAAUACGUAGGUGGCAAGCGUUAUCCGGAUUUACUGGGUGUAAAGGGCGUGUAGGCGGGAGUGCAAGUCAGAUUUGAAAACUAUGGGCUCAACCCAUAGCCUGCAUUUGAAAUUGUACUUCUUGAGUGCUGGAGAGG
RNAcentral lists this ribosomal RNA (305 nucleotides) under uncultured bacterium. RNAcentral describes it as "bacterial SSU rRNA". It matches the Rfam family "Bacterial small subunit ribosomal RNA", at positions 338 to 657 of the family's 1533-position model. The record is from RNAcentral.